RNAcentral lists this long non-coding RNA (1233 nucleotides) under Ornithorhynchus anatinus (platypus). RNAcentral describes it as "lncRNA (ENSOANG00000045423.1)". Lineage: Eukaryota; Metazoa; Chordata; Mammalia; Monotremata; Ornithorhynchidae. The record is from RNAcentral.
AUGUCACCGGCCUCCGACCAAGCAUGGAGGGCCACGGGGAGGGCGGCCCCACCCCCCCCCAGGACCGGCCGGGCCCCGCCGCCGCCGGGGUCCCGAGCGCCGCAUUGCAAAAACCCACCGCCGCCGGGCCAUCGAUCGCCCGCUGGCCGACUCCGCCGGCCCGGGCGCCCUUUCGUGAUCGUGAUUCUUUUUAUUUUAAACCUCCUCUUGGAGGGGGGAAGGGGGGGGGGGUGCGGCGAUGCCCGGGGAAGGCGGCGGAGGACGCUCGGCCGGUGCAGCGGCGGGGAGGGGGGAGACAGACCUCUCCGACGCCACCGAAGGAAACGGCGCCGGGUCACGGCAGCGACAAAAGAAAAGUCAUGGGGGGGGGCCGCCGCCCCCCCUUCCCCCCCCCCCCCCCCGGGGCCUUUCCGCAACCGCCCCGGCCCCCCUCCCCCGCCCCGGCGCCACUGCAGCUGCACGGCUCCCCGGAGCCUCGUCCGGCCCUGCAGCUGCAGAGCCUCCCGGCCGACCCCCCCCGCGCCCCGGCCCGCUCGUCCCUGCAGCUGCGGCGGCCCCGGGAGCCCCCGCCCCGGGGGGAGGCCGACGACGGGGGGGGGGGGGGGAGGGCAGGAGGGGGCUCCGCAGCUGCACCGCCCCCCCAACUCCAACUCCGCCUCCCGCCGUCGGCAGGACCCCCCGGCCCGACCCCGCGCCCCCCGCCCCUACCUCCUCCUCCUCCUCCUCCUGCCGGCGCCGCGGGGGUCUCAACAGCUGGUGCUCCCUCCUCCUCCUCGUCCUCCCGGGCCCGCCCUCCUCCACUCAGUUGACAGGGGGGAGGGGCGGGGGGGGGCGGCCCGGUGGCACCGGGACUCACCCGGAGGAGCGGCCCUAAGUGGCCUCCUGCCGCCGCCGCCGCCGCGGGUCCGGCUGUGCAGGGCGGCCGCUGCCCCCCGCCUUCCCUCCCGCCCGCCCUCCGGGCUGCACCCGAUCGGCCCGGGCGGGGGGGAGGGGAAGGGGGGGGGAACCGAGGCCGGGCCCGGGGGGGGGGGGGCGGGGAGGGUCCGGAGGGAGGAGGAGGCAGCGCGCACGCGCGCACGCACGCGGCGGCCAGUUGGUCCUCCCCCCCCCCCCCCCGCCUUUGCAACGACACACUCACACACACACACACACGCGCGCGCACCCCCGCCGCAUCCCCCUUCCUCCCUCCCUCCCCGCCCCCCCCGGCCGAGCCGGCUUCCGCGAUUGACAGGC